This 2770-nucleotide ribosomal RNA is filed under the name marine metagenome. Its description in RNAcentral is "bacterial LSU rRNA". It matches the Rfam family "Bacterial large subunit ribosomal RNA". The record is from RNAcentral.
AGGGCGCGCGGUGGAUGCCUUGGGGCAAGGGGCCGAUGAAGGACGUGGUAAGCGACGAUAUUCCUCGGGGAGCUGCAAUCGAGCUUUGAUCCGGGGGUUUCCGAAUGGGGUAACCCGGCGUCAUGAAUAAUGACGUCGCAUUCAGGUAAAUAGAUAGCCUGUCUGCGGGCAGCUGGUGAACUGAAACAUCUAAGUAGCCAGACGAAAAGAAAGUAAUAACGAUUCCGUAAGUAGCGGCGAGCGAACGCGGAUCAGUCCAAACCUGUGUUGUGUGAUAGGCGGCAGCCGUUGCAGCAUGGGGGUUGUGGGACCAUACAUUGUGAUCUGCCGAUUACAGGUGAGUCAAAAAUCCAUAUUUUAUACGAACGCGCUGGGAGGCGUGGGCAUAGCGGGUGAGACCCCCUUAGUUUAAAAGAUAUGGACUUACUGUUAUGGCACCCAAGUACCGCGGGACACGAGGAACCCUGUGGGAAUCCGGGAGGACCAUCUUCCAAGACUAAAUACCUCUUGCCACCGAUAGCGCAUAAGUACCGUGAGGGAAAGGUGAAAAGCACCCCGGGAGGGGAGUGAAAUAGUUCCUGAAACCGCGUCGCCUACAAGCAGUCGGAGCCCAGUUUACAGCUUGCUGUAACGGGUGACGGCGUGCCUUUUGCAGAAUGAGCCUGCGAGUUAACGUAUGUUGCGAGCUUAAGUGUUUUAGACACGUAGGCGUAGCGAAAGCGAGUCUGAAUAAGGCGUAUUAGUAGCAUGUGUUAGACCCGAAACCGUGUGAUCUACCCAUGGCCAGGUUGAAGCGGGGGUAAUACCUCGUGGAGGACCGAACCGUUGUAUGUUGAAAAAUGCUCGGAUGAGCUGUGGGUAGGGGUGAAAUGCCAAUCGAACACGGAGAUAGCUGGUUCUCCUCGAAAUGCAUUUAGGUGCAGCGUGUGAUGUUCACCAACGGAGGUAGAGCACUGAAUAGUCGAUGGGCCCUCCAAGGUUACUGAGAUUAAUCAAACUCCGAAUGCCGUUGGUUCAAGUCAUGCAGUGAGACAGUGGGGGAUAAGCUUCAUUGUCAAAAGGGAAACAGCCCAGACCCACUGCUAAGGUCCCUAAGUGGCGGCUAAGUGUAAAAGGAUGUGGGACUACGUAAACAGCCAGGAUGUUGGCUUAGAAGCAGCCAUCAUUUAAAGAGUGCGUAACAGCUUACUGGCCGAAUGUAGUCCUGCGCCGAUAAUGUAAGGGGGCUCAAGCCGCCCACCGAAGCAUGGGAAGUCGUAUUUAUACGGCUUGGUAGAGGAGCGUUGAUACUGGGGUGAAGCAUGAGCGUAAGCACAUGUGGACUUGUAUCAAGUGCGGAUGCAGGCAUAAGUAGCGAGAAGAUGGGUGAGAAUCCCAUCCACCGAAAACCUAAGGUUUCCGCGGCCAGGUUCGUCCGCCGCGGGUUAGUCGGGCCUAAGCCGAGGACGAUUGUCGUAGGCGAUGGACACACGGUUCAUAUUCCGUGACAGUGCAUGAAGGUUAUACGUCUGGGGACGGAUUGGAAGAGGUUUCCUAAGUUAUUGGCUUACUGAGCGGAUCCUUCGGGUGAAGUGCAGAAGUUUCUUCCGGUUCCAAGAAAAGCCAUGACGGUACGACAUGUACUCCCGUACCGCAAUCCGACACAGGUAGGUAGGUAGAGAAUACCAAGGUGUUCGAGAUAACUCACGCUAAGGAACUAGGCAAUCUAACCCCGUAACUUCGGGAGAAGGGGUGCUGGCGCAAGCCAGCCGCAGUGAAAUGGCCCGAGCGACUGUUUACCAAAAACACAGGUCUCUGCAAAAGCGAAAGCUGACGUAUAGGGGCUGACGCCUGCCCAAUGCCAGAAUGUUAACAGGAGAGGUCAGCGCAAGCGAAGCUUUGAAUCGAAGCACUGGUGAAUGGCGGCCGUAACUAUAACGGUCCUAAGGUAGCGAAAUUCCUUGUCGGGUAAGUUCCGACCCGCACGAAUGGCGUAACGACUUGGGCGCUGUCUCAGCGUGAGACUCGGCGAAAUUGUAGUAUGCGUGAAGAUGCGCAUUACCCGCCGCAGGACGGAAAGACCCCAUGGAGCUUUACUGCACCCUGACGUUGCUGCCCGGCAUAUUCUGAAGAGCGUAGGUGGGAGACUUUUGUCGCCAAUGGAACACCACCCUGGAUAUGUUGGGUAGCUAACCCGCGCCGUUAUCCGGCAAGGAGACAGUGUCAGGCGGGCAGUUUGACUGGGGCGGUCGCCUCCCAAAAAGUAACGGAGGCGUCCAAAGCUGCCCUCAGGCUGGUCGGAAACCAGCUUUUGAGUACAAUGGCAUAAGGGCGGUUUACUGCGAGACGUACAUGUCGAGCAGUUGCGAAAGCAGGGCAUAGUGACCCUUUGGUCGCGUAUGGGUGCGCCAAAGAUCAUCGGAUAGAAGCUACCCUGGGGAUAACAGGCUUAUCUUGCCCAAGCGCUCACAGCGACGGCAAGGUUUGGCACCUCGAUGUCGGCUCGUCGCAUCCUGGGGCUGGAUUCGGUCCCAAGGGUUAGGCUGUUCGCCUAUUAAAGCGGUACGCGAGCUGGGUUCAGAACGUCGUGAGACAGUUCGGUCCCUAUCCGCGGUGGGCGUAGGAAGUUUGAAGGGAGCUGUCCCUAGUACGAGAGGACCGGGAUGGACAGACCUCUGGUGUGCCAGUUGUACCGCCAGGUGCAGACGCUGGGUAGCCAUGUCUGGUCGUGAUAAGCGCUGAAAGCAUCUAAGCGCGAAGUACACCCUGAGAUAAGACUUCCCACCAUUAU